Molecule: unclassified non-coding RNA, 282 nt
Filed under: Athalia rosae (coleseed sawfly)
Lineage: Eukaryota; Metazoa; Arthropoda; Insecta; Hymenoptera; Athaliidae
Description: misc RNA ENSAEAG00005010252.1
Source: RNAcentral
UUUUCGUGGAUACAAAUACAGUAUAAAUAUAAGCAAUUGUUAUAUCGUGACUAGAAUUGUACAUGUGAUAUUUUUUUUCUUUCUUUCUGGUAGAUGGCCAUUGCGCGAUGCAAGCAAAUCAGGACAUCAACGAGUCUCUCCAAAGAUCCACUCCUCUCCAUCCCGUUCCGGUAGAGAUGGAUCUGCAACACAUGAGACGUACAACUCCUUUUUUUGCGGAGGUCGCAUAUCUUCCAACGUCGGAGAUGCUGUCGCCGCAGUUAUGACCCCCUGGACUUCCCC